Molecule: ribosomal RNA, 279 nt
Filed under: uncultured Staphylococcus sp.
Lineage: Bacteria; Bacillati; Bacillota; Bacilli; Caryophanales; Staphylococcaceae
Description: partial 16S ribosomal RNA
Rfam family: Bacterial small subunit ribosomal RNA
Source: RNAcentral
UACGUAGGUGGCAAGCGUUAUCCGGAAUUAUUGGGCGUAAAGCGCGCGUAGGCGGUUUUUUAAGUCUGAUGUGAAAGCCCACGGCUCAACCGUGGAGGGUCAUUGGAAACUGGAGAACUUGAGUGCAGAAGAGGAAAGUGGAAUUCCAUGUGUAGCGGUGAAAUGCGCAGAGAUAUGGAGGAACACCAGUGGCGAAGGCGACUUUCUGGUCUGUAACUGACGCUGAUGUGCGAAAGCGUGGGGAUCAAACAGGAUUAGAUACCCUGGUAGUCAAGGGCG